Molecule: ribosomal RNA, 442 nt
Filed under: uncultured bacterium
Lineage: Bacteria
Description: partial 16S ribosomal RNA
Rfam family: Bacterial small subunit ribosomal RNA
Source: RNAcentral
CCUACGGGAGGCAGCAGUAGGGAAUCUUUCACAAUGGGCGAAAGCCUGAUGGAGCAACGCCGCGUGCAGGAUGAAGGCCUUCGGGUUGUAAACUGCUUUUAUAAGCGAGAAAUAUGAUGGUAACUUAUGAAUAAGGAUCGGCUAACUACGUGCCAGCAGCCGCGGUCAUACGUAGGAUCCGAGCAUUAUCCGGAGUGACUGGGUGUAAAGAGUUGCGUAGGUGGCAUAAUAAGUAGCUAGUGAAAUCUGGUGGCUCAACCAUUCAGACUAUUAGCUAAACUGGUAAGCUCGAGACCGUUAGGGGUAACUGGAAUGUCUAGUGUAGGAGUGAAAUCCGUAGAUAUUAGAAGGAACACCAAUAGCGUAGGCAGGUUGCUGGGACGGUUCUGACACUAAGGCACGAAAGCGUAGGGAGCAAACGGGAUUAGAUACCCUAGUAGUC